RNAcentral lists this long non-coding RNA (28804 nucleotides) under Mytilus galloprovincialis (Mediterranean mussel). Lineage: Eukaryota; Metazoa; Mollusca; Bivalvia; Mytilida; Mytilidae. The record is from RNAcentral.
AUGACGAGACUAUGGUUUAUAGUGACAGUACUUGUCUUUGUUUUGAAUCAUGGAAUUGCUACGCAGCCGAUUAUACAAAAUUCUGAUAUGAGAGUUUUUUGCCUGAUGUUUGCAUUACCGGGACGAAAAAAUGGUCCAGAUAUUAACGGGUUCAAGAAUCUAUUCGAUGCCCAACUCGAAAAAGUAGGCAAGAAUAUCUUCGGAAACAUUCCGCACAAUAAAAGAAUGGAAGAGGCCGGAAAUAUAUGCACAUUCAUGGACAGUUCGUCCCCAAAAUGUGCUUACCACAGGAUAACAACCAUUGGAAACCACGUGAUUGGUGAUCUAAGAAGACUAGAAAGUAACAUUGGAACCGGAUUCAAGGAUUCGUGGUACAUGUAUACAGUGCUUCUGUCCACUUGGUACAUGGACCGAGUCUUUCUUAAUCUUAAUUGUGGCCCAGUGGAUGUUAACACGCCUCGUCCGACAGCUCAGUGGGAGUAUGUAGCUAAAUGGAGUAAGCAGUUACUCUCCCAGAGAAAUUUCUGCACUUGGUCAAAACCGUUGGACAAAACAGUGGCACAAAAUCUACGUCAAGAAGUGAAGAAGAUUUGCGACUUUAGAGAAACAGAACCUAUUUGUAGACUAGAACCUGUUCUAGACUUAGUAGAUUCAAUGACAAAUCUAUGCAAUACUGUUCCCCAAACCGAAUGGCGAACUGGUUCAUCAAACUUUAAGUUCUUUAAAAGUGCAGCGUACAUCAAUUUCUAUAGUAUGAGGGUUAAAAUGCCGACACAUAUUGUUAACCUGUAUGACACCAGCACAAGAGAAGAAGCUGUUAAAACAGGAAUACUUAGCAUCUUUUUUCAACUGUAUGACGAUUUUAAAGCCAACGACCUAACGCUAGCUGUCAAACUGUUAAAGAUACUUCCCAAAAGUCAGUAUUUACCGUGUGAUUACAAUGCACCAUUUCCAUCAUUCAAAUGGUUGAUUUGCUCAUGCGCUAAGGUAUUUAACGAACUCCGUUUGUACCUUCAAACCUAUGGGACCGGUAACGCUGAUGUUUUACCUCGCAAAUUUUUGGUUUCAGAUAUUGACUUUCGGGAUUAUAUAAAGAAUUUAAAAGUUACUCAAAUAAAAGAGCUGGCAGAGAAGAAUGCAGUCAGUUUACAAGUCGUUGCUACGGAUAUAAAGAAUGAUGUACAACACCGAUUUCAACAACUUGGAUCAUACUUCAAGAAAGUGGACUCCUACCAGAAAGCUAAGCUAGAUGCUGACGUUGGCUAUCUUAAAGGUAGAAUUGCAGACUAUCAAAAACGAUUUGUCAAAUAUGUAGAUGAACUCAAGGUAAAACUUGAAAAAUUACUAAUUAUUUACAUUGGUAGUGCUAGGCAAGAUUUACUUCAAGCCGUAUUAAAGCUGGUGAUGCGUAUGGCACAGGCUGCAAAUCCAUUUAAAUGGCUGACUACUAGUGGCAAUUCCGAUAAAAUUUUGGAGUCCGCGACAGAAAUAGCUGUUGCAUCUAGACGUUUGACUCAUGCCAUUGGAAGUGCAGUCAAUUUUCAUAAACUUGUUGAUUACAGCAUUGAAAUAGCUAAGAAACUGGCAAAAAAUGAGAAGAUGAUAAAGAAUGUUGGCAAGAUCAUGGAUAAUGCUGCAAACAUUGUAGAGUCGUCUGGAAAUGGGUAUGACAUAAUGCAGUCAAAUUUUUUGAAAGACUAUACUGACUACUCCCCGCAAGUUACAAAAGAUGAUCUAGCUAAACUAGGUUCUUACUGGGAACUAUUUAUUGAAGAAAUAUGUGAGGGCAUUGCUUCCACAAGUAGUAUAGCUGCAAAUGCAAUACGAGGAAUUACUGGUGCAACUGGCAGGUGUCGUGAGGCAAAAAUUACCGCCGCACAAUUGGUAGCAACACAAGAGGAAGUAUAUGACCUCCAGUUUAACCUCAUGGAAACAAUGGCAAAUUUAAUGCGAAGCUUAACACAAAUACAAAGCUCUAAACUUCUCGGCGCAGGUCCAAAGGCUCAGCAUCCAAGUAGUUUAUCCAUUGACACUAUUAAAACAUUAGUAGCGGUUUCAUCGAUGUCGUACAAUAUUCUACAGACAACUAAUGUUCAAAUGCUGUGUAACAUUUUGGAAUAUAAGCGGGGACGAAAGCCACAGUUGUGUAACGGAUUGGCUACAGAUAUUGACAAGUUAUUAGCAUCUAGAGACAGCGAAUGUCACGCUGAAUUGAAAUUUAUAACAGUGUCAACACAAAGGACGAACAAAACUGGUGACUAUUCUUGGUUAGACCUUUCUAGGUUAUUCCGUGGUGAGACUGUUCCCUUCCAAGUACCAGACGUAAACUGGUGGAUGCAGCAUGGUCAACUUUUACCAUCACAAAGAAGUCAUAGCUUUUAUCUGACUGGGUUUGAAAUAUAUAUGCCGAUUGUUAGCGAAGACGCCCGUCCGGUAAAUAUUGUAUUUGUUUUAUAGUAAAUUUAAUAAUGUUUUGUUUUAUCAGUGUGAAAAACUGCAAUCGAAUAAUUUCUGAAAAAAACCUUUUGUUUACUUCAUUUAUGUGUUAUAACUUCCACUCGUCUUUUAAAGCUAGACUUUCAAAUAGAGAUUGUUCGUGGUAAAACAAAAAUGUGAAACGUAUUAAGCAUAGAAGGAAAAACAAUAUUUGUACUUCCUGUUUCACAUUUUGACAGGAUAUUAUAUGUCAGAUGAAUCCAAACGUCCAGUAUUAUAUUAGAAUAGUGUCUGAGAAUUUUUUUAACUAUUUAGAAAGGAAUGUGUAUCAUGGUUUGUUUUGACUAUCUUUUCCUACUUUACUUAAUUAUUUUCUUCGUUAGGUACUUGUGCAAGUCACCCCAACAAACGUCGACAACAAAUUGUUUCAAGAUGCGAAAACAAACUACAUCAUUUCACCGCUAAAACAGAUGACUGACCGCCUCAAGAUAUCAUACACAGAAGGUCACGGCUCAAGUUGCCGUCAGCAAAGAAUACCCAAUCCAUACCGAGUAUGUGGCAGGAAGGAACGAUCAUCUUUUCCACAGAUAUGCCAUAAUUCAAUAAGUAAUACUAAUUUGUAUUUGUAGUUUCAUUUGCUAUUUACAAUUACUGUACCGAGAUUAAGGAAACACGCAGUUCAGGGUAACCUUAUGUUUAGAAUCUAAUUAAAACACAAUCUAUCUAUUCCUGUAAAACGCCAGAACUUAAAUCCUCAAAUUAGUACAUAUAUGAAAUUUGAAAUUUUGCAAUAAGAUUCAUGGUUUCUAGUUAUUUGAAGUGUAAUCAUCAUUCCACAUUCUAAUUAUGUCACUACCGUAUCGUCAUCGAUAAACACAAUGCCGGUAUCAGGUCCGCUCGCGCCCAAUACACUUUCGCACCCUACACGUUCGCACCUCGCACGUUCGCACCCAAGGUCCGUUCGCACUCUACACGUUUGAGCCCAAUUUUAAUCAAAUUCCAGUAGAAUGAUUGGAAAAUCAUGAUUGCUGUUUUAGAUUGCUUUAAUUGAAUGUAUUUGGCUUGGUAUGAGUAAAAUUUUGAAGAUUUUAAAUGAAAAACACAAAAGAUAAUUGUGUUUAACAGCUUGGUCCCUUUGAUCUGAAACAAUGAAACAGAGACAUAUAAUACAAUUGUAUUAUAUAAUACAAUUGUAUUAUAUGUCUCUGAAUGAAACAAUAAAAUAUAACAAUACACUAUUAUAAUCAAAACGUGAUUAAAAAAAAAAUCAACACCCCCAAAAAAACGUAGUCAGAAAUUCAAUUUAUUUUGAAACAACUUGAAGUCAAUGAAACAAAGUUAUAGCAAUACACUAACCAAAACAUGAUGAAGAGUUAUUCAACACAAAAUAAAACGUUAACCGAAUCUCACUUUACUAGUAUUUAGAAGGUUUUUUUUUACAAUACACAUUCCAAAACAUGAAAAAGAUUUAUUCAACACAAAAAAAUGCUGUCUCACUUUAUAUUGAGAUAAUGACAACAAACAUACUUAUAAGAAUACACUUGCCAAAACUUGAUUACAAAGUUAUUAAACACAAAACCGAAUGAAAUUGGGCGCGAACAUGUAGGGUGCGAAAGUGAAAGGGUGCGAACGUGAAUGGGCGCGAACGUGAAUGGGCGCGAACGGACCCGGAUUCCACAAUGCCAAUAUCAGUAGAUAAGUGAAUGCCUGCAUAACAUCUGCAUUUAUUGCGCGAUUUACGAUACGUUACAACAACCUUGUGCUCACCUUAUGCAUGUACAAUGCACACUGGUAUAUUGAUAGUUACUUAUAUCAUAACCUUUUUACAAAAAAAGUAUUGUUUACAGGCGAUGAAGACAAAAGUAUACUGCUACCGUCAAUGUACUCAAAGUUUAAUUUACGAGUGGAGGGAUAUGAACAACUUCAUCUUGAUGAACCAGUCACCGAUGUUCCUCUGAAAAUUGGAAUCAAGGUCUGUUCAGUUGAUCCAUCUAGACCUCUGCAACGGCGGAAAAGAGAAAUUCAAAGGUAUGUAUAAUUCAGAAUUCUUCUCUUCGAUGUUGUGGUAAUCCAGAGACAGCCCAUGCAGGUUCAGUUAUUUAUUAAACAAAUCACUAAACAUCAAGUUCGGAGGUGACUGUAUGGCUUCUACAACAUUUUGAAGUGUUUUGUGAAAAAUCUCGACCAGUUAAGUGGUUUCUACUUUAACGUGAGUUCCGAUUAAGCCCAGAUAUUAAGGACUAUUGUAUAAUUUGAUGAAAAUAGACACUUCUAAUAUUAUACUACGUAAUCAAUUGGGAUCAUGACACAUACAUGUUUAAUCGAUUCUUUUAUUUUAAAAUACUUCGAAAUAAACUAACAAUCCAUGACAAAACAAUAAAAGGACCAAAAGGCAAACAACAGUAUACAAAACUCAACAAAGAAGACUGAGCAGUACGAACUAGUUGUCUUACCAACAUUUACCUGGUUUCCAUCUAAAAUUCUCAUUACAUACUACUAGUUUAUUCUAAAUUAAAAUAAAAUAUUUUAACCGGCGUCUUCGGUCUUCCAGUUGUGUUGAUUCGAGCCCUACAAGUGAGUCAUUUGAAGAACAAUUAUGUGUCUCACGUACUUAAUUAUGAGCCUUUUAUUAAUGAUAAGAUUCGCAUCCGUUCAGGUCUAAUUUACUGUUCUGUUCAUGUCAUGAUCUUUAACAAACUUUUAGUAAAUUAUCCGUUGAUUCACUUAACCUAUUAACAAAUGCUUGGGUUUGACUAUACUUGAUGAAAGUAAAUCCGAAACUAGAUUUUUGCGCACGACAUUAAUCAAGUAGUCUUCUUUUUGUCCUCCGAUGGCCGUGUUGACACUCAACGUCGCGUUCUGUAAACCUGUUUACAAUUAGUUUCAUGUAUAGAACACUGGUUUCAUAUCAAUUUUGUUCUCAUCUUUACUUCGGGUUUAAUUACAUUCACACCAGUAAUAUACAUGUACUAUACAUUGAAUUGAAUAAAUGUGUAGCGGAUCACAUCAUUCAGGCAGGCAUCAAAUUAUAAUAAGACGAUAACUCAAGUAUGCGGUAUAAAUAUGUAUCUUUUAUUCCUCAAAAUUACACUUAAUUUUGGCUUCUUAUACUCAUAUAUUAUAUCAACCGAUUCUCUACAAUAGAAUACAAAUACACAUAAACAUACAUCGUAAGUAAAAAUAUAACUUAAAACACUAAAAUCAUAAUACUAAACAAACAAUAGGAAACACUUUCUUUCACGCUUAAUGAAUAACUUGUUAAAGUAAAAAGUUAAUUGAAAUAAAUAUUACUUUAUAAGUACUUUUACAAUUCUUAAUAUUUCUUCUUUAAAUAAAUAUUGUUCUUAAAAAUGUGAACAUAAAUUAUUUCUUACCGAUUAUGAUCUCUCUAUGAAUAACGAUGUGUCUCCGUAAUAAAAUAAUUUGUAAUGAAUAAAAACUAGACAACGUAACGUACGUAAAAGCUAAACGUCAUAAAACUUUAAAAACGGGAAAUAUAACAAUUCAUAAGAGCGCAACGUUACAUGUAAGCGCAAAUACCCCAAAAUCGUAUCUACAAGUAUUACAAAUAAAAUAAAUAACUUCAGUAAUAAUUAAUGAAGUAACCCAACAAUUUGGAAUUACAUUUCAAAUCUAACAAAAUGUCUCUGUAAUUUUUGUAACAGCAGAACCAAUUCAUAUUCUUUUUAGAAAAAGGGUGUGGGAGCCGGUAUAUACAAUGUUAACAUUCCUUUCUUUUUGGUCAAAAUACGUUUGUUUCAGGGGGGAAGUGAUAAAAAUCGUCUGAUUCCAUUGAAAAGUAAGGGCAAGGUUUCCUGUAUGUUAUACAAUUAAGAUUGUUUUGGUUAUUUCAUUCAAGUAACCAAAGAAAUGGGUUGUCCCACGAAGAUGAACGAUCGGUUCCUUUAGAAAAGCGUUCUAAUGAUUAUAGAGUUUUUUAGAUGUCACAAUUACUUUUACUAAAGCAGCGUAAGAAUAGAGAAAACAGGAUUACGGACAUGAUUGAAUGACUGAUUGUCGGUUAUUUAACGUCCAGUGGCAAGUAUUUCAUGCAUAUUCAGGACGAGAACAAAUUAACAAUAUAUACAAUAUGUAGGUUCUGUACUAGAGUCCGUCCGGUUCGAAGUUCGGUGAAAUUUUGACUGGAAAAAUAGAAAGGAACACAAGUUUUGCCUCGCAGAAGGCCACCUACGGGCCCGUCAAAGAGUUGUUCCAAGGGUUCUUUACGUUACUCACCAAUUACAUAUACCAAUAACUUAUAACUCUUUAAAAUAACUUAUAUCUAUAACUUAUUACUCAUUAAUAACUCAUACUUAUAACUUUUUACUCACCAAUGACGUAUAUACUUGCAGCGUACGCAGACAAAGGUCAAGUGGAGAUUUAUGUUGUCCUCAGAACAAACAGUAUUACUCAGAGAUGACAAAACAAUGUGAAUCAUGUCCUGUUGGAUCACANNNNNNNNNNNNNNNNNNNNNNNNNNNNNNNNNNNNNNNNNNNNNNNNNNNNNNNNNNNNNNNNNNNNNNNNNNNNNNNNNNNNNNNNNNNNNNNNNNNNNNNNNNNNNNNNNNNNNNNNNNNNNNNNNNNNNNNNNNNNNNNNNNNNNNNNNNNNNNNNNNNNNNNNNNNNNNNNNNNNNNNNNNNNNNNNNNNNNNNNNNNNNNNNNNNNNNNNNNNNNNNNNNNNNNNNNNNNNNNNNNNNNNNNNNNNNNNNNNNNNNNNNNNNNNNNNNNNNNNNNNNNNNNNNNNNNNNNNNNNNNNNNNNNNNNNNNNNNNNNNNNNNNNNNNNNNNNNNNNNNNNNNNNNNNNNNNNNNNNNNNNNNNNNNNNNNNNNNNNNNNNNNNNNNNNNNNNNNNNNNNNNNNNNNNNNNNNNNNNNNNNNNNNNNNNNNNNNNNNNNNNNNNNNNNNNNNNNNNNNNNNNNNNNNNNNNNNNNNNNNNNNNNNNNNNNNNNNNNNNNNNNNNNNNNNNNNNNNNNNNNNNNNNNNNNNNNNNNNNNNNNNNNNNNNNNNNNNNNNNNNNNNNNNNNNNNNNNNNNNNNNNNNNNNNNNNNNNNNNNNNNNNNNNNNNNNNNNNNNNNNNNNNNNNNNNNNNNNNNNNNNNNNNNNNNNNNNNNNNNNNNNNNNNNNNNNNNNNNNNNNNNNNNNNNNNNNNNNNNNNNNNNNNNNNNNNNNNNNNNNNNNNNNNNNNNNNNNNNNNNNNNNNNNNNNNNNNNNNNNNNNNNNNNNNNNNNNNNNNNNNNNNNNNNNNNNNNNNNNNNNNNNNNNNNNNNNNNNNNNNNNNNNNNNNNNNNNNNNNNNNNNNNNNNNNNNNNNNNNNNNNNNNNNNNNNNNNNNNNNNNNNNNNNNNNNNNNNNNNNNNNNNNNNNNNNNNNNNNNNNNNNNNNNNNNNNNNNNNNNNNNNNNNNNNNNNNNNNNNNNNNNNNNNNNNNNNNNNNNNNNNNNNNNNNNNNNNNNNNNUGAAUCCGUUUUAGAAUAAUUAGGGUACUGUCUCGUUAAUGUAUACUAAUAAUGAUAAUGAUAAUAAAUUCUUUAUUCUACAUACAAUUGUAAAUCUCACACAAGGUCUUCGCAUAUUUAAAGAACAAUACCCUAACAUAGCAAUACUUUUUCCACUUAUCGUCCAAGCAUAUUAUCUAAUUGCUAUUAUCUUAUCUCUUUAAAAUGUGUGAUUUUUGUAGGUUUUCUAUUUGCAAAAAUACUGUCCUGAAUAAUUGUGUAAUAUAUGUUAGCUCAAAUUCUAAAUAAAAACACCACUAACCCUUUUUAUAUGUCUUGUUCAAACAAAUUAUGAAACAUAGAUUUUUUUUUGUUUUAGCCUAUUAUUCAUUCAUUGAUUGUUUGUUGUUUAACGCAAUUGGUAAAUGCCAUCCUGUAUCAAUUUAAUGGUCGACAAUUUACCAUCCGAUGUGAUGAAUACGAAGCGCAGUAGUUUUAUAUUGAAAGAUGAGAUAUGUGUUAGGUUGUGAAGAGAUAUUUUCAGAAUACUACGCGAAAGCGCAAUGAGUUAUAUGAAAUGUUUUUAUAUUUGGAGAUGUUAUUUAGCUGAAGACUAUCGUAAUGCAAUAUUAUACACUGUUCAUAUUUAAUGAAGAAACUGUUUUAACCAAACGAAUUAAAUCAUUCCUAACAAAAAGUAGUUUUCCCAUCCAAAAUGUUGUUGGAUGUCUUAAUUAAUUUCCUUUCAAUUUAUCAUUUUUUUCCUGAAAAUUUGACCUAACAAUCUUACACACAUUUCACUCUUGAAUGCUCAUACGCAUUUAUGAAUUGAUCUCAAGUUUUAAAAAAAUGUAAAAUUUUUGGUAGGGCAUGUAAAUAAAUGAACGCUGUAUAUGUGAAAGUCAGUUACAGACCUUAUGAAACAAAUAGUGUGAAAUAAUUGAGUUGCCCUGCAUAUUUUAGGGUAAUUGAUAUACAAUUAUAUUGAUCGGGCUAUACAUAUGAAUUAAUAUGAUAUCCUAUUGCUUGAUAUAUUUUGUUUUAAAUAUUGGCACCAAAAAAAAGUUAUUUGGUAGUAUGGUUUGUUGCUGUCAAAGUAAAGGAUAUAAUUAAUAUGUGAAAGUAAAACUAGAAUUUUCAGUUUUAAUCAAAUUUAGACACGUUUAACCUAUUCAAUAACUUUUACAAAUCAACAUGAACUUUCAUAAAACUCUACAUAUGUAAUUCUAAAUAGAUCUUAUAGAAUACCAAGUUGUGUUGAAGUUUUGUCUAUUGCUGUCAAAAAUAAGGAUUUAAUUCCUUAAAUGGCCCCAAAAUAUAGCAGUUUUACAAAAUUGUUAAAAUGUAAACUUUUAGUUAUUUAUUGGACAGUAGAAUGCUUCUGUUACAUAAACAUGUGCUGUUUUUGACAAUACAAUGCACAUAUAUCCGGUACUAGCACCAUUAAGUCAUGCUUAAUUACUGAAAUCUUCACAAUUCUAGCAUUUUAGUUAAAUUUUAGACGGUUUUCGUGUAAAAAGUGGCCGCAUUGUGUUCAUCCUUAAUAUUGAAAUGUAGUUGUUUGAUGAUAUACAUACAUAUAUAAAGGUUGAGGAUGAACACGGAUGGCGGCACUUCAUUUUUUUUCAAAACCAUCUGAAAAGUGACAUUUUCGGAUAUUUGGUAGAUUUUUCAUAUUUGAGCUUGAAUCGGAUCGUUUUUAAUGACUCCAUCAGAUAAAAUCUUUUCCAUUAACUAAUUAAUUAAAAUAAAAUAGACACAUAAGUAUUUAAAAAGUGGUCAAAAUCUUUCGUCAGAUGAACUUGAAAUUUGAGGCCAAAAUCGGUCCUUACCGGACCUACUCCUUUAAAAAAGCUAGAAUUUUCAUUUCGGACUAAAUUCAGGUAGUUACCUUUAGUAUGAUUUUAUUAGCUAAUCUGGCCAAAAAGAGCGUUAACUUUAAGAAAAGUCUUCUCCUGUGAAAUUACAGGAUGAAACCAAACUUGGCUCAAAUCAUUCUUAGGGUAUUUAAUUUAAAAAUGUAUCCGAUGACCCCGCCAAUGACCAAGAUGGCCUCCAUGGCUUGAAAUAGAACAUGGGGGUAAAAUGCAUUUUAUGGCUUAUAGCUGUAAAACAAAAGCAUUUAUAAAAAAUCUGACAAGGAUAAACAUAUUCAUCAGAACAAGAUCUAUUUGCCACAAAUUUUUCAGACACAUCAGACAACUCGCUGUUUGGUUGCUGCCUAUAAGUUGGUUAUUCUAAGGAAAUUUUGCAGUUUUUGGUUAUUAUCUUUAUCUUUAAAUUUUAUAAUAGAUAGAAAUAAACUGUAAAAAGCAAAAUUAUUCAGCAAAGUAAGAUCAACAAACAUGUCAACAUAACCAAAUGGUCAAUUCAUCCCAUAAAGAGUUACUGCCCUUUAAAGUCAACUUUCCCACCUAUUCGUAAAUUGUUUUAAGUUUUUCACAAAAAUCUCCUCUGAAACAACUUGGCCAAAUUGAACGCAACUUUGCCUAAAUCAUCCUUAGGGUAUCUAGUUUAAAAAAUGUAUCCGAUGACCCUGCCCAUCAAUCAAAAUGACCGCCAUGAUUGAAAAUAGAACAGGGGAUAAAAUGCAGUUUUUGGCUUAAAGCUCUGAAGCUGAAGCUCUAACAAUUGUCCAUAUAUACGUCAAAACUGUUAGACAAAUUCUAUAAUAUAUAAUUUUUUUUCAUUUCUGCUGAUUAUCAUGAAAACUAGGUUAUUUAAAGAGAGAAAUAUUUUUUUUCUGUUAGGCCUCAUUAUGAUAGAUAAAUAAACACUCUGAAUCACAACAAUAAUCAGCAUGGCAAUAUCUAUUAAUAAGUCAGAGAAACUAAACAGACUAAAAGAUCAGUAAUACAAGAUCAACAAAAUAGAGAUUUUUGUCAUGGUCUUUUCUUGUAUACAAUGUUGGAAAGUGUGCUUUGUGUGAUAUUCCCAUGAACCAAGGUGAGCGCCACAGGCUCUUUAGAGCCUCUAGUUGCAUGUACUUUUCAAAAUCAACUUGGAUGUUCAUGAAACUAAACAGGUAUCUCAAUAAUAUAUUGAGCAAAACAGAAUGCCAUGUUGGUUGGCAGUUUUAUGUAUUGCUGUCAAAUAAAGGGAUUUAAUUGAUAGGUAAAAACACAUCAACACUCGACUGCUUUCACAAAUACAAUCAAAGAAGAAAAACCCAAAUGUCAACAGAUUCUAGGAUCUACCAACACCCAACUUAUAUGAAAAAUACACACAAAACUUAGCAACAGAACACAAGAACUUUCAAUCAUCGUCCACAAAAUUACACACAAACAAAAAAAAUCAUCAAAGUACGACUUAAACCAGAACAACCAGCACUUGAUUCUUCUGACAAAAUACACGCAAACAAAGGCAAACAACAGACCGUUUGGACAACUUAUGCUUGUAAAAUUAACAGGACUACAUAUCUUAUUCUGUAUAUAAUAUCAACUAAUUAGACAGUAUCAGAAAUCUCUAUCCGUGCCUUAUCAUAUUAAACACAUUGUCACACAAAAUUGACAAAACUAGACAUUUAACCUGUACUAAAAAAUAGUCAAUCCAUUGUUAUCUACAAUCGACAGUACUAACCAUUUCUACCUGUAAAAUCUUCAAAACCGUACUUUCUUCUUUGUUCUUUGUUGGAACAUUAAUGUUCUACCUGAAUCACUUCAAUUGAUGAAAAAUGAAGCAUUUUUUAUUCAUGAUUUAAAUAUUUUUAAAAAGACAAUAACACGGAGAAUGCUUUUAGUCAUUGUUAUUUAAUAUUUUCUACUUAAGUUAUAUAUUAUCUGCCGAGCUUUUAAAAUGCAUCUUACCCGGCUAAAAAACAAAUAGAUCGAGAUUAAUCAUAAUGAGCUUGAACAAUUAUUUAACCCCAUGUGUCGCUUUUACAAUCUACAAAAACUGCACGUGUUUAAUUAUCAAAUUGACUUUUCUCAUUAUCUGUUUAAUUUGGCAAACAUUAGUUGAUUGUAUAAAACUUGAUGAAUUUGAAAAAAAAAGUAUUUGAAGUCACAACUUUAGAUGAACACAUUUCUCACCUGUUGUGUUUGGUCAGAUAUACAGUUCCCUAAUUUCACAUAACUUGGUUGAGAAGUGGUGUGUCAUUGCUGUAAAUAAUUUCGUUUUAGUGAUACACUAAGGCAUGGGGAAUUGAGAAUUUCAAAAUUAAAAUAAAAUAAUUGUGAUUUGUCAAUUCUCACUCUGAGAAAAACAUUGUUCUCACUCCUAUGAAGUUUAAUGUUCACAGUAAAUAUUACCUGCUUCACAUGCAGUAAUUUUUUCUUUGAUUACGAAUCAAAGGUACCUUGUGGUCUCACAAUUAGAAGAAUAUCAUAAGUUCCAGUUCUUUAAAAACCUAACAGUCUUUUAAUUCCUGACAUUCUUUUCAAUCCCAAAUGAUGAGAUAAUCAUAAAUACAUAUAUUUGUAUGUUAUUGACUUAAAGGAGUUCAUUUUUUUAAUUUCAAUUCAGUGGUUGUCGUAUUUUGCUUUAUUUCAAAUGUGUUUCUCGUUCAUGGCUUCGUACAUAAGUAAUGACUUCAGUUUUUCUCCUUUCAUUGUUUCACAUUUGUUAUUUUGGUUUGAGUUUAUGACUUUGUGGAAUGUUUUUAUUUGUCAUUAUUGAAGUCCGUGUUCUUGAGUUAUGUAUCUACACGAAUAGGGUCAUUUGAUUGCAGGUGUGCAUGGCAAUCACAUGUCAUUCUUGAAAAUGGAGACGCUCUUAGAUAUGAAUAUGUUAUAUCCGCUAGUAAACCUGGCUUAACAAUUUCAAGAUUUGUAUAUGAUGCCUCAUACAAUUUUUCAUUUGUUUCAAAGCCGUUAGUUUACGUUUCAAACCCGACUUAAGGUGGUACCCAACACCUUGACUUAAAUUGAUUUGGCUAGUUUUAAUUUCAUAAAAUUUUGACAAAAUAUUUACUUUGACCCUUCGAAAUUUUUUUUUUAAAAAUUCUGAAAAUUUGAACCAAUCACUUUCUCGGGAAAAAAAUGGUUGGAUAGAUAGCAGUUUGGCAAACACUUAUUUUGAUCAUUGAGAAGCUUAAUAGUUCCCUUACAAUACAACGUAAUUAAAACGCUUAGCCGAUUUUACAGAGUUAUCUCCCUGUAGUGUUAGGUACCACCUUAAUUGGUUUUACCUUUAAAAGACCAUCUGUUUGCUUUUCAUAAUAUAAAUCAAAACAUUAUUUCGAAUCUUUUUUUUUUCACUUAGUUCACGGACAACCUUACUUGCAGUUAUUGCCCCAAUUUUCUAACGAGAUCAUUCUUCAAUAGCAAAUUGACCCGUUGUCAUGUUUUCUAUGUUAUUCUAUCAGUUUGAGUGUAAGUUUAAUGAAUUAAGUUGAUGUUUUUAUUCAAUCCCUCUUGGUAAUAAUCUUCGUCAAUUGAUUAAAAUGCCUUGUUAGGUAUUUCAGAAAGCAUGAUAUAAUUUGUUUCAUUCGUUACUGGCAGAAACCUUGUUCCUUUGAUAUUUGGUUGUUUUACAGGUAUAAUUAUUGCUGAUUCCAUAAUGUUAACAAUUGGAGACAUUGAAUCUUUUAAUAAGCAUCCCUGAUGUCAUAUAGCAGUUAAUGGGUUAUGCCUCUCUUUAUAUAAAGAUACGGUGAAAUGUCGCUUAUAUAAGUAUUUAUACUGGAUGGUUUGUUAAUGUCUUCAUAUUUCUAAGAUUCAACCUUGACACGUCAAUAUAAACAGUUGUGUCCCUCUAUGGACUCUGUGUAUAUAAGUUUCAGUUUUUUUGUUUUGCAAAUCAAUAUUUUGCAUGAACAUAAUAAUACAAGUGCAUUUUUAAGUGUUUUUAUUUUGUUUGGGGGAGGGGAGGGGGGCUUUUUUUAUUUUUCUAUGUGUAUAGCAGAUCUAUUGAAUGCUUGUAACAAUGCUUGUAAUUGAUUUCUAUGGCUUUAUGUCUUAUUCUCUUUAAGCUAUGACGUUGUCGGUAUAUUUUCGUGCUGUUGAACAACGAUUGUCCCAUAUUAUGGUAUUAUUGAGCGUUCACAAACAAGUUAAAUUGGUGAAUAUUUAGGACAUUUCACGAACAGAUCGUGCAGGUGAUUUAAAACUAGCAGGCUAUAUUGCAUUAUACGUGUUAUAAGGAUUGUCUGUGAGGAAUACUUGCGAAGUUUGACUUUUAAUAAUCCAAUACCACCGUAUAUGCUAUGGCGAUUGUAAUAUCUUCAUUUUGAAAAAAAUAAAAAAAAACCUUCUUCAUCUCGUCGAAUUAAAAUGAUUAUUUCUCUUUCUGUUGAUGUCUCAGAAAAUAAUGUGGGGUGUUUCAAUUUGAAAUUAUUCAGCCAGUUGCAUCAAGUAUACAUUAAUUACAUUCACCUUGAUUUUAGUACAAAAAAAUUUUUUGAGUUGACAUUUCGUUUAAAGUAUGACAAAGCCUUGAACAUUCAGAUGUAGGUCUAGCAAUAUUAGAUCAAAAAUAAAAUAAUGAAGUAAAUCCUAAAAUUUAAUCGGAUUACUGAUUCAAAGUAACUGUUUAAAACACAUUUAUACUAUUCAUGUUUACUUGAGAUCUUGCCCCGAGCAGAUAGUAUGAGCCAAAAUUUGCUCCUAUGAACACAGUUCCAGUGUAACUUAUAUCACAGAAAAUAUGUUCUUGGAGAACUUUUUUCACAGACAAUUACUAUAUAAUUUGUUCCAUCUCUAUAAAAUAAGUUCCACACUUUACUUGAUGAAAUAAGAUGUCUUUUGAAUUUUUGUUAUAAUUAAGGACAAACGUAAUGUUAAGAAUACAAUAUGACAUUUUGAGAAGCGUUUUUGUUACAAGUUUGAACAGCUAUAUAUUUGAUAAAGAAUGAACGAGGAGUUUGUAUUUUAACUUGAAAUGUCAUAAAUACUAAAGUCAUCAAUUAAGUUUUUUUUAUUUGUUGCAAGUCCAUUUAUCACAUAAAUCUACAAUAAAAAUUCCUUGCAUCUUCGAAAAUUCUACAUCAGAAAUGAUUGCACUAAUAGUGAUAAUUCAUCGCAUCUAUAGUGAAAAUGGAUCGCUUUCAAUAAUCGAUAUGCUAUAUUGUGUUGCUUUUAUAACAAUUAUUUGAACUUGAAUGCUGUUAUUGUACACUAAAAAGACAUAUCACAAUGAAAAUAUGUUGAAACUUGCUUUCAAAUCAAUUAUUUUGAUAUUUUCGAAACGUAAACAAAUACCGUUUUCCCAUUAUCCUUUAUUCUUCAAUAGACAUUCUCGAAUAUGAUAGUGAAAAUGAACUAGCUGGAUUCACACUUUAUAUGCACUGUAAAAUAUCAUACCAAAUAAAAUUUAUUUAUCAGAAGGUAUUACCUUUUAACUAACUUUUAACACACACGGUUUGACACACCUCAACUUGUAAAAUAUGCAAAAGUUCUAAAUCCAAUGGACCAUGAUGAUUAGAAUGAGACUUGCAAAUGUUUAAACAAAUUCAUAUAAAAUUGCUUAAAAUAAGUAGUUUUUCUGAAACUAUUCUCAUCACAAAUAUUACUGCUGAAAUUUCAUAUAAAGUAAAACAGAAUAAUAUUGCAUUACAUGUGAAAGUUAACUCUUGAACUUUUGAGGUCAAAUAUAGAAUAGUAAGAUUAUGUUCUAAGAUUUAUAGAUGAAAAAAUUAACAAAUAAUCAUACAACUUUAUUGGAUGUUAACCUUACAAAUAACAUGCAUCAUUUCACAACCUUCAUCUGAAUAGGUGUUGUCUACCCUUCACUAUGCAGAUAGUUAUCAAAUGUAACAGGAUUACUAUUUGAUACGCCAGACGCGCGUUUCGUCUUAUUCAGUUUUGCAGAGUUAAACAUCUGCACGGAUGCAUUUAUGAAUGUCUGCUAGUUAAAAACAAUGAUUAUAGACUCUCAAGAGCCUCUGUCGCUCACCUGUAUAAAUUGUUGUUUUGAAAAUCAUGUAAAAUAAUGUUAAAAUCAUAAAGAUACCCUAAUAAUGAUUGAAACCAAUUUUGGUUUAAUUUCGCCCAGUAGUUAAAUUAAAAGCAUAGAAUUUUCGGAAAAAUUUACAAAACAUUACCAGUAAAUCGCAGAAAAUAACUCCAACAUGAUCUACUUAUAUUUUUGUCCAUCUGAUGAGUUAAUCCUUUUUCAACUGAUUUUUAUAGUUCGUUCUUAUGUUGUACUGUUAUACCACUGUCCCAGGUUAGGGGAGGGUUGGGAUCCCGCUAACAUGUUUAACCCCGCCACAUUAUUUAUGUAUGUGCCUGUCCCAAGUCAGGAGCCUGUUAUUCAGUGGUUGUCGUUUGUUUAUGUGUUACAUAUUUGUUUUUCGUUCAUUUUUGUACAUAAAUAAGGCCGUUAGUUUUCUCGUUUGAAUUGUUUUACAUUGUCUUAUCGGGGCCUAUUAUAGCUGACUUUGCGUUAUGGGCUUUGCUCAUUGUUGAAGGCCGUACGGUGACCUAUAGUUGUUAAUGUCUGUGUCAUUUUGGUCUUUUGUGGAUAGUUGUCUCAUUGACAAUCAUACCACAUCUUCUUUUUUAUAUGAUGUCAAUUUCCAAUUGGUCAAGUUAACUUAUUUUUUAGAUAUUUCUAUGCUUGACAUUUUUGCUGCUAACAGUACAUCUCAAUAUAUUAUGAUAUUCAAGAUGAUUAACCAAAAAAAAAUCAAAAUUUAUUUUACCCAGGCCUGUCUAAUCCUAAAAUGCCUUUAAGGGCAUACGAUACAGUUGCAGGGGAGGUAAUGACGUUGCUAACGUAAAUUGUUAUUUUCGCGACGUCAAACUAUGACUUAUCGGAAAAAGAUUCAGUUUUCGACAGAUUUUUUAUCAUUCAAACUAAUCUAACUUGAAAACGAGUUCAUGAACCUCUUUUUUAAAAUACCAUUUUGUUUGAUCACGCAAGAAGAUUAUUUUUGCCAUUUUUCCUGAAAACGUAAAUAGUGCAAUUUUUUGAAAUUUGAUAAAUAUACAGCAAAAAAUGAUGUUUUUUACUACAUUCAUUAACAUUUGAUAAAUUUGAGUUGUUUCAGAAUAUAAAAUGUAUAAACUUUUAGGAUAAUUAUAAAAUACAGAAAUUACAAAUUAUUUAACAAAAAACAAUUUGUGUUUAUUUUUUAAAACAAAAAAUUUAUGUCGUUCUUUCGAAAGGGAAAAUACGGCUACAAAUCCGAAUUUUAAUCAAAUAUACAAAAUUUCGACCUCAAUUUACUCAAAAAGUAGCACAUGAAGGUAUAUUUUUAUUACAUAUUUGAUUUAAUCAGGUAAAAAAUAGUCUAUAUGGAAAUUGUUAUCAAAAUGUAAAUACGGGAUCAAAACUAUAUCGUAUGCCCUUAAGUGUUUUUAUGGAAAACCCUUUAAAAGAAUUUGGCAGGGUUCUCCUGAUCACAACUAACCCGCCGGGUCUGCAGGGCAUUCACCCAAAAUAAGUAUACUGAAAGAAAAGGUAAAGUAAUAGUUAGUUUUGAAGUUGUGACCAUUUUUACAUUUGUUCCCAAAGACUUCUAUAGAAAACCCUGUGUUCUAUUUUACCAAUAGGGCCAUUGUGGUUAUAGGGCAGGGUCAUUGUAUACAUUUUUCAAUCAAUAAUUGAGGCUAAGAUUAAUUCUAUUUGGCCAUGUAGAGGAGAAGAUUUUUGUAAACAGAUUUACAGAAAAUAGGGAAAAAAAAUGAUUUUAAAGGGCAAUAACUCCUUAAGGUAUCUGGCCCAUUAUUAGCAAAUAAACAACUAGCAAAAUAAUUUACAUUUUUAUCAAGGGUUGUAAGUAGGGGGUCUAAAACAUCUUUCUAUAAAAUAAAAAAUCCGCAAAAAUAUUUGAGGUAAACAACAGAGCUGGGUUUCAAUGCCCCCUUUUUUUGUCCUCAAAUGUCUAAGUAGGGGUUUAAAAAUUAUGUAAUUUUAAGAAACAUAUAUAGUAUAAUUUACUAAUCUAUAUUCCGAAAGGAACCUUACAGUAAAUCCUUGUCAAAUUACACCAAAACAAAAGGUAAUUUGCUAUUAUUUGGUUUACUAGGUUCUCUAAGUUGAAAAACGUAUGGAACAAUUUCAUACAUCAGCCACACUGAACUUAUAAAUAUCCCGACAAGCCCGUACUUCAUCUCUCCUUUCACUAAUUUGUUGGUUAAAAGUAGUGAACUAAUAUUGAUGUGUGCAGAAUUGUAAAUUGUCGAAAAGAUUGUCCAUUCAACCAAUCAUCUCACAGUGGACCAAGUGUGAGACCUGUUAUCUUUCCUAUUUUCAACUAAUCGUCCUACGCCGGGGCAACAAAUUUAACAACCAGUUGCAUCCACAUCGCACACAUAAUUUCCACAAUCAUUAUUGUGUUCAAUCUCAUUAGUCUCCACAUGACAAAGAGACGAAGAGACGUAAAUCGGAGUACUUUAAUUGGUAAAACGCCCUUAUUUGUCUCGGCAACCUAUCGUCUCAUCAAUAUUAAGUUACAUUAACUUCUAUUUCCAGAUUGACUCAGAAUAGACAACGUUUAGAGACAAUGAGCGUUUACUUCAUUGUUUAGCCAUGGCGUUGUCCGUUGAUUUUCGACAUAUUAGUUUGAAUGUCCAUUUAGUAUAUUUAGCCCUUUUUUUUUUUUGUUAUCAUUAAGUCUGUUACAGAUUUUAGUUUGAAGUCGACAAUCUUUGUCAAUAUCGAUGACAUUGUCAAUUCAUGAAAUUAACUUUUUUCUUUCGGUUGUAUCCUUAUUCUAAAUUUACUUGGAAAUAUUAGAUAUUAGCACUCAUUGAAACGUGAAAAGUAAAAUAACAGAAAUACCGAAACUUAGAACAGAAAGUUCCUUGUCAGAUGUUAAAAUCAGAAACUCAAAAGAUCGAACGAAUGGUAAACAACUGUCAUAUUCUUGACUUGGUGCACACAUGUUGAACAUGAAGGACUAAAAACACGUUUAAUAGUUAUCUGUGUGGAUGCUGCUUGCAUUUGGCAAAUACUAAAAAAAAGGAAAGAGCUCGUUUUAGAAAAUUCAACCUACGACUGCCUGUUUGUGUAUUUUUCAUAUAGUUACGACCAAAAGACAAAAGAAAGUUCCAUUCAAAAGCAGAAAAUUCCUUCUUACUGAAGCUUUGUGCAUUUUUACCACAUGUGAUAAAAGUUCAUAAUAUUAUAAGUUUACGAUUAUUUUAUUCCCGAAAUCAAAGCGUUGGCAUCAGAAAAACAAAUAUGUAAUUUCUUUAAGUAGUCCUGUCACUGAUUCAAAUUCAAUUCAUAUUACUUUUAAACCUGUUUUCAGUUCAAAGAAAGUAUCUUAUAUAUUGUCCUGGAUGCAGGUAUGUUAAAGGAUACACUAAACCUCAAUAUGAAUCAACAUUACAAUAACCUUUAUAAUAAAUACGGAUGCACAUCUGUUUCCGGGAAUACAUGUUAUACUUAUCAAGUACUUGACAAAGCAACAGCUAACAAUUAAGAUUUAUACUUACUGAAAUAUUUUUUUUUAUAAAACCCUCGUAUAUAAUGUGUUACUUUAAAGUAUUAUAAAAAUCCUCCAGUAAUCAUAAAUCUUUAAGGGAAAAGGGCGCUCCUUCGCUUUAACUAAGUUUUAUGCUUGUAAGGGAACUAAAGCUAUUCAAUUUGAAGGAGCAAAAUGAAUUAAGGUCGUUACAUUUCUAUAAUAGUUUAUACCUUAAAGUAGACAUGUAUAGUCGUUCAACGAUCAUUAAUCUUUUUUUUUUUUUAUUGCGCUUUUAUAUUCACGCUCUUUCUGGAUAGUAAGCAUCGAUGUGUUCUGAUAUUUUAGUUCACUCUUUGUGUCAAACACAUGGAGUUUAUGACAGACAACUGAAUUUGAUUUUCUAAGGUGUCUGAAUACUACCAAAAAGGAACAACACGUUGAAAUUUGCUUGAUUUGGUAACUGAUCAGAUCACAGGGCAUUUACAAACAUAUAAAGUGUUUGCAACCACACACAAAUUCAUUUUUGUAUCGAAUCAUUUCCAAACAUUACAGUUAUAUUGUCAAUUUUGAUAUUAAAAAUCUAGAAACGAACUGUUGCAAACACACUGCUGAAAGAUCUCUAUAACUGUGUUGAAUUGAUGUUAUUUUAGAAUAAGUUUUUUCCAAGAUUCGAUUAUCCGAAUUGUAUCUUAUUUUACGGGCUUUGUAAACAACAUGAUCGUAAAAUUUAGUAUGUUUACACAGUUUCCGCUACUUAUUUACAAUAUUUGGAAAAGUGAAAAUACAUUUUUUCUAUGCUGUAUAUACUCCAAACUACAUGUCUGUUUACACAGUUUUGGUUGAUGGGUGCUUAUAUUGUCACCUUAACUUAUUAUGUCUGAUUUUUGGAUCUCCUGAUUUUUCGAUGUAGCGGAGCUGUAUAACCAGGCUUUAUCCAUCACGUUCUUCAUUAAUAACAGUGAUGUAGCGGAGCUGUAUAACCAGGCUUUAUCCAUCACGUUCUUCAUUAAUACCAGUGUUGUAGCGGAGCUGUAUAACCAGGCUUUAUCCAUCACGUUCUUCAUUAAUACCAGUGAAGUAGCGGAGCUGUAUAACCAGGCUUUACCCAUAACGUUCUUCAUUAAUGGCAGUACAAAGUCUGGAAUACGACUUAUGUUUCCAUUUAUUCCUUUGAUUAAUAUAGUCGAGCGUUGAGUUUUGUCAGGUUUUAUUGCUUUCCUCCUUUUUGAAUCAACCAUGUUAAUUCUUCUUUAUAUCAUAUUUGUCAAUUAAACUCUUGGAGGUUAAAGUCACUCAAAUUUGUUCUACAAAAUAGAUAUAGGAAGAUGUGAUAUGAGAGCCGAUGAGACAUCUCUCCAUCCAGGUAACAAUCUAUAAAUGUAAACCCUUAUUUGUCAAGGUCCGGCCUUUAACACGGAGCCUUGGUUCACACGUGCACCGAUCAGCAAGCUAUAAAGGGCCCAAAAUUGCUAGUGUAAAUUUAUUCAAAAUGUAUGUAUGAGGCCGUCUUAUUGUUAAGAUAUCAAUGUGAGCCGAUUUGACCAUUAGCAUUGUUUAAAGAGUGUAUAUAAGGACUUCCACAAACAAUGAAAGACCAAAAAGUAUAAUAUAGAAGUAAAUUAAAGUAAUCACGACUAGUAUUGUAUUGUAAAAGAUAAUAUAAAUUCAUUAAUUGCCAAUAGCGGGAAAACCAAAACAUGUUACAAAUAGUUGUCCGGAACACUCCAUAUAUCGCCCGGAAAGAUGAUAUAUCCCUUCAAUAUAAAUGUUUUAUCAUAAAGGAAACAGACUUUCCGAGUCUAAUCUUGCUUACGUUAACAAAUAUAUAUAGAGACAUUUGUGGUUUCUUUUUAAAAACUAGAAGUUUAACUUAAUUAUUUGUUUCGGAGCUUGUAUUUGUAUAAUUACUUGGACGACAAAUCCCAAACCACUUUUACCACUUAUGUGGUAGAUAGCGGAUAUUUUUAAAUAAAAGGUGAGAAAUUAUUUAGUUAUGUUCAUGUUUAUGGGUCUUAUUUUUUAAGUUAAUACAGUAAUUAAUAAAUUGAAACCAGAUUUCCAAUAUUUUUUCCAAUAAACAUACAUUUGAAGACAGCAAGACAAAAUGUUGAUAGUUUUAACGAAAAGAAAUCACAAUCGGGCACAAGAUUUGAACGACUCAAUUGUAUGAGGCAAAAACUAUCGACGAAUACAAAUGCUGAAAGAGGAAAGUCGACCUCUUUAACUGUUUCGUAAUAUAUUUCUUUAAACAAAAAUAGUUAUGUCUUCAUGUUUAGCUUCUCAUAACUUUUGACUGUAAAAACAUGUUUUGUUUAAUAAAUCCACAAACAAUGACAUGGAAUAACAAAAUUAUUUUCAAACGACAAACUUGAAAAUUAUUAAAUUCAAUUGUUGAUUACUUUUGGUAUUAAACUGGAUAUUCAAACAGAGAGACCAAUAUCCGCAUUUCGAAAGCUCAAAUAACAAUAGCAUAAACGAAAUCGUGCAUAACAACUGUUAUUUCUACACUUUAAAGAUUACUUCUAGGAGCUUAAUUAGGUUACCUCUGAUCUUCUAUAUGAAUUACCUUUGUUCCUUACUUAUUGACUGCAUUACAAUAUUUGAGUACAUUGAAUUGUAAUGACAGAAAAGGCUUUCUUCAAUUUGAGCUGCUCUUAUUUAUAUACUUUAAAUUAUGAUGUUCCUGUUUUCAUUUCAAAAAUCUCAUUAACUUUACAGAGAUGACGGGACUAUGGUUUAUAGUGACAGUGUUUGUCUUUGUUUUUAAUCAUGGAAUGGCUACGCAGUCGAUUAUACAAAAUCCUGAUAUGAGAGUAUUUUGCUUGAUGUUUGCUUUACCAGGACGAAAAAAUGGUCCCGAUAUUAACGGCUUCAAAAAUCUAUUCGAUGCCCAACUCGAAAAAGUAGGCAAGAAUAUCUUCGGAAACAUUCCACACAGUAAAAGAAUGGAAGAGGCCGGAAAAAUAUGCACAUUCAUGGACAGUUCGUCCCCUAAAUGUGCUUACCACAGGAUAACAACCAUUGGAAACCACGUGAUUGAUGAUCUAAGAAGACUUGAAAGUAACAUUGGGACCGGAUUCAAAGAUUCGUGGUAUAUGUAUACAGUGCUUCUGUCGACGUGGUACAUGGACCGAGUCUUUCUAAAUCUUAAUUGUGGCCCAGUGGAUGUUAACUCGCCUCGUCCGACAUCUCAGUGGGAGUAUAUAGCUAAAUGGAGUAAGAAUCUACUCUCCCGGGGAAAUUUCUGCACUUGGUCAAAACCGUUGGACAAAACAGUGGCACAAAAUCUACGUCAAGAAGUGAAGAAGAUUUGCGACUUUAGAGAAACAGAGCCUAUCUGUAGACUAGAACCGGUUCUAGACUUGGUAGAUUCAAUGACAAAUCUAUGCAAUACUGUUCCGCAAACCGAAUGGCGAACGAGUUCAUCAAACUUUAAGUUCUUUAAAAGUGCAGCGUACAUCAACUUCUAUAGUAUGAGGGUAAAAAUGCCGACAAAUAUUGUUAAUCUAUUUGACACAGGCACAAGAGAAGAAGCUGUCAAAACAGGAAUACUUAGCAUCUUUUUUCAAAUGUAUGACGAUUUUAAAGCCAACGACUUAACGCUAGCCGUCAAACUGCUAAAGAUACUUCCCAAAAGUCAGUAUUUACCGUGUGAUUACAAUGCACCAUUCCCAUCAUUCAAAUGGUUGAUCUGCUCAUGCGCGAAGGUAUUUAACGAACUCCGUUUGUACCUUCAAACCUAUGGUAAAGGUAACGCUGAUGUUUUACCCCGUAAAUUCUUGGUUUCAGAUAUUGACUUUCGAGAAUAUAUAAAAAACUUAAAAGUAUCUCAAAUAAAAGAGCUCGCAGAAAAGAACGCUGUUAGUCUUCAAGUCGUUGCUAUGGAUAUUAAGAAUGAUGUACAACACCGAUUUCAACAACUGGGAAAAUACUUUAAGACAGUAGCUACGUACCAAAAAGGUAAGCUAAAAGCAGACGUUGGAUAUCUCAAAGGCAGAAUUGAAGAUUAUCAGACGAGAUUUAACAAUUAUGUAGAAGAUAUCAAAGGAAAACUAACAACAUUACUUGGGCUUUACAUAGGUACUGCUGCGGCAGAUUUAGCUCAAGCCGUAGCAAAGAUGGCAAUACGAGUGGCAAUGGCUGGAAAUCCAUUUAAAUGGCUGGCUGGUAGUGGGAAUGCCGAUGAUAUUUUGGAGUCCGCGACAGAAAUAGCGGAAGCAUCCAGACUUCUAACUCAUGCUAUUGGUAGUGCAGUCAAUUUCCAUAAACUUGUGGAUUACAGCACUAAAAUUGCAACAAAACUGGCAAACAAUGAGAAGAUGAUAAAGAAUGUUGGCAAUAUUAUGAAUAAUGCUAUGAAGAUUGUAGAGUCAUCUGAAAAUGGGUUUGAAACAAUGCAGUCCAACUUCUUAAGAGACUACAAUGACUAUUCCCCUCAAGUUACAAAAGAUGAUCUAGCUAAGCUAGGGUCUUACUGGGAACUAUUUAUUGAAGAAAUAUGCGAGGGUAUUGCCUCCACGAGUAGUGUUAUUGCAAAUGAAAUAAGAGGAAUUGCGGGUGCAACUGGCAGGUGUCGUGAAGCUAAAAUAACCGCCGCACAAUUGGUAGCAACACAAGAAGAAGUAUACGACCUUCAGUUUGACCUCAUGGAAACAAUGGCAAAUUUAAUGCGAAGCUUAACACAAAUACAAAGCUCCAAAAUUCUCGGAAAUGGUCCAAAAGCCCAACAUCCAAGUGGUUUAUCCAUUGACACUAUUAAAACAUUAGUAGCAGUUUCGUCGAUGUCGUACAAUAUAUUACAGACAACUAACGUUCAAAUGCUGUGUAACAUUUUGGAAUAUAAACAGGGACGAAAGCCACAGUUAUGUAACGGAUUGGCUACCGAUAUUGACAGGUUAUUAGCCUUAAGAGACAGUGAAUGUCACGAGGAAUUGAAAUUUAUAACAGUGUCAACAAAACGGACGAACAUAACUGGUGACUAUUCUUGGCUAGACCUUUCUAGGUUAUUUCGUGGUAAAACUGUUCCCUUCCAAGUACCAAGCGUAAACUGGUGGAUGCAACAUGGUCAACUUUUACCAUCACAAAGAAGUCAUAGCUUUUAUCUGGCUGGGUUUGAAAUAUAUAUGCCGAUUGUUAGCAAAGACGCCCGUCCAGUAAAUAUUUUAUAGUAAAUUAAUAAUUGGUUGUUUCAUCAGUGUAAAAAAGUUCUGAAAAACACAUUUUAAUCAGUUUACUUCAUUUAUGUUUUAUUACUUCCAAUCGUCUUUUAAAAACUAGACUUUCAAAUAGAGAUGUAAAACGUAUUAAACAUAAAAGGGAAAAAAGUUAUCUACGUCCUGUUUUACAUUUUUUGUCAAGAUAUUGUAUGUCAGAUGAAUCCAAAUGUCCAGUAUUAUUUUAGAAUAGUGUCUGAGAAAAAUUUGAACUAUUUAGAAAGGAAUGUGUAUCAUGGUUUAUUUUGACUAUCUUUUCCUACUUUACUUAAUUAUUUUCUUCGUUAGGUACUUGUGCAAGUCACCCCAACGAACGUCGACAACAAAUUGUUUCAAGAUGCUAAGACAAACUACAUCAUAUCACCGCUUAAACAGAUGACUGACCGCCUCAAGAUAUCCUACACAGAAGGUCAUGGUUCAAGUUGCCGGCAGCAAAGAAUACCCAAUCCAUACCGAGUAUGUGGCAGGAAGGAACGAUCAUCUUUUCCACAGAUAUGCCCUAAUUCAAUAAGUAAUAAUAAUUUGUAUUUGUAGUUUAAUUUGCGGUUUGCAAUUACUAUACCGAGAUAUAGGAUACACGCAGAUCAGACAGCAACUUUAUGUUUAGACUAUUUUGGAUCUUAUUAAAAAAAACAAUCUAUCUAUUCCUAUAAAACGCCAGAACUUAAAUACUCAAAUUGGUUUAUAUUUGAAAUUUGAAAUUUUGCAAUAAGAUAUAUGCUUUCAAAUUGGUUGAAGUGAAUUCAUCAUUCCUCAUUCUAAUUAUGUUACUACCGUAUCGUCAUCGAUAAACACAAUACCAAUAUCAGUAUAUAAGUGAAUGCCUGCAUAACAUCUGCAUUUAUAGCACGAUUUACGAUACGUUACAUCAACCUUGUGCUCACCUUAUGCAUGUUACUUAUAGCUUAGCCUUUUUAUAAAAAAAAGUAUUGUUUAUAGGCGAGGAAGACAAAAGUAUACUGCUACCGUCCAUUUACUCAAAGUUUAAUUUACGAGUGGAGGGAUAUGAACAACUUCAUCUUGAUGAACCAGUCACCGAUGUUCCUCUGAAAAUUGGCAUCAAGUUCUGUUCAGUUGAUCCAUCUCGACCUCUGCAACGGCGGAAAAGAGAAAUUCAAAGGUAUGUAUAAUGCGGAAUUCUUCUCUUCGCUGUUGCAGUAAUCCAGAGACAUCCCAUGCAGGUUCAGUUAUUUAUUAAACAAAUCACUUAACAUCAAGUUCGGAGGUGACUUUAUGGCUUCUACAACUCGACCAGUUAAGUGGUUUCUACUUUAACGUGAGUUCCGAUUAAGCCCGGAUAUUGAGGACUAUUGUAUAAUUUGAUGAAAAUAGACACUACUAGUAUUAUACUACGUAAACAAUUGGGAUCAUGUCACAUACAUGUUUAAUCGAUUCUUUUAUUUUAAACUACUUCGAAAUAAACUAACAAUGCAUGGCAAAACAAUAAAAGGACCAAAAGGCAAACAACAGUAUACAAAACUCAACAAAGAAGACUGAGCAGUACGAACUAGUUGUCUUACCAACAUUUACCUGGUUUCCAUCUAAAAUUCUCAUUACGUACUACUAGUUUAUUCUAAAUUAAAAUAAAAUGUUUUAACCGGCGUCUUCGGUCUUCCAGUUGUGUUGAUUCGAGCCCUACAAGUGAGUCAUUUGAAGAACAAUUACGUGUCUCACGUACUUAAUUAUGAGCCUUUUAUUAAUGAUAAGAUUCGUAUCCGUUCAGGUCUAAUUAACUGUUCUGUUCAUGUCAUGAUCUUUAACGCACUUUUAGUAAAUUAUCCGUUGAUUCACUUAACCUAUUAACAAAUGCUUGGGUUUGACUAUACUUGAUGAAAGUAAAUCCGAAACUAGAUUUUGGCGCACGACAUUAAUCAAGUAGUCUUCUUUUUGUCCUCCGAUGGCCGUGUUGACACUCAACGUCGCGUUCUGUAAACCUGUUUACAAUUAGUUUCAUGUAUAGAACACUGGUUUCAUAUUAAUUUUGUUCUCAUCUUUACUUCGGGUUUUAUUACAUUCACACCAGUAAUAUACAUGUACUAUACAUUGAAUUGAAUAAAUGUCUCUGUAAUUUUUGAAACAGCAGAACCAAUUCAUAUUCUUUUUAGAAAAAGGGUGUGGGAGCCGGUAUAUAAAAUGUUAACAUUCCUUUCUUUUUGGUCAAAAUACGUUUGUUUCAGGAGGGAAGUGAUAAAAAUCGUCUGAUUCCAUUGAAAAUUAAGGGCGGGGUUUCCUGUAUGUUAUACAAUUCAGAUUGUUUGGUUAUUUUAUUCAAGUUACCAAAGAAAUGGGUUGUCCCACGAAGAUGAACGAUCGGUUCCUUUAGAAAAGCGUUCUAAUGAUUAUAGAGUUUUUUAGAUGUCACAAUUACUUUUACUAAAGCAGCGUAAGAAUAGAGAAAACAGGAUUACGGACAUGAUUGAAUGACUGAUUGUCGGUUAUUUAACGUCCAGUGGCAAGUAUUUCAUGCAUAUUCAGGACGAGAACAAAUUUACAAUAUAUACAAUAUGUAGGUCCUUUACUAGAGUCCGUCCGGUUCGAAGUUCGGUGAAAUUUUGACUGGAAAAAUAGAAAGGAACACAAGUUUUGCCUCGCAGAAGGCCACCUACGGGCCCGUCAAAGAAUUGUUCCAAGGGUUCUUUACGUUACUCACCAAUUACAUAUACCAAUAACUUAUAACUCUUUAAAAUAACUUAUAUCUAUAACUUAUUACUCAUUAAUUACUCAUACUUAUAACUUUUUACUCACCAAUGACGUAUAUACUUGCAGCGUACGCAGACACAGGUCAAGUGGAGAUUUAUGUUGUCCUCAGAACAAACAGUAUUACUCAGAGAUGACAAAACAAUGUGAAUCAUGUCCUGUUGGAUCACAGAGUUACUACAACGGCCUGUUUUGUGGUGAGUAUAACAAUGUGAAUCAUGUCCUGUUGGAUCACAGAGUUACUACAACGGCCUGUUUUGUGGUGAGUAUUACAAUGUGAAUCAUGUCCUGUUGGAUCACAGAGUAACUACAAUGGCCUGUUUUGUGGUGAGUAUUACAAUGUGAAUCAUGUCCUGUUGGAUCACUGGGUUACUACAACGGCCUGUUUUGUGGUUAGUAUUACAAUGUGAAUCAUGUCCUGUUGGAUCACAGAGUAACUACAAUGGCCUGUUUUGUGGUGAGUAUUACAAUGUGAAUCAUGUCCUGUUGGAUCACAGAGUAACUACAAUGGCCUGUUUAGUGGUGAGUAUUACAAUGUGAAUCAUGUCCUGUUGGAUCACUGGGUUACUACAACGGCCUGUUUUGUGGUAAGUAUUACAAUGUGAAUCAUGUCCUGUUGGAUCACAGAGUAACUACAAUGGCCUGUUUUGUGGUAAGUAUUACAAUGUGAAUCAUGUCCUGUUGGAUUACAGAGUUACUACAAUGGCCUGUUUUGUGGUGAGUAUUACAAUGUGAAUCAUGUCAUGUUGGAUCACUGAGAUACUACAAUGACCUGUUUUGUGGUGAGUAUUACAAUGUGAAUCAUGUCUUGUUUGAUCACUGAGUUACUACAAUGACCUGUUUUGUGGUGAGUAUUACAAUGUGAAUCAUGUCAUGUUGGAUCACUGAGUUACUACAAUGACCUGUUUUGUGGGGAGUAUAACAAUGUGAAUCAUGUCCUGUUGGAUCACAGAGUUACUACAACGGCAUGUUUUGUGGAAAGUAUUAUUUCCUUUGUUCUUUGGUAUUAUGAUAUAUCCUUAUAUUUUCUGUAGCAUGUCUUCCGUGAAAACUAGGUGAAAGACACUAAAGGGACAUUUUGGUUUUCUUUUCCUGUUUUGCUCUAAAUAUAACACGUUUGAAGUUCUUAUGCAAAUAUGUCUAAUGAACAUCUGUAGAAUUUUAUUUGAUAGUUUAAGCUCAAUGGGCCACAAAUGUGGUCUUCUCAUAUCUUCUUUGUAUUAAAACCUUUUAUGUCAUGUUUGUCAUUCCAUCAUUUUAUUAUGACAUAGAACAUGUUAACCUGUUUAUCUUAUUGUUGAAACUAUAAUAAACGAACUCUUUCCCUUCAAAUAUUUGUUUUAUUGAAAAACCGUAAAUGAUCGACCAGAAUUAAAAAAGAUGGUCAUAGUAUUACACAAUAGUUGUUUUACUCAUGCUUACAUGGAGUGAAAUUAUUUACUCUUUUUCAGGCAAACUCAUCAACAUACGUUUCUCUGGUAGCAUUACUGAAAACUUCAGCUAUGAUAAGGCGGUCAAUCUUUGCAAGCUGAAUGGUUCCAAUAUUGCAUCGACACAACUGUUCAAUCAAGCGCGUCAACUAGGUCAAACGUCAUGUGUUUGUGCCUGGAUGGAAGGAUCCCAGGUUGACUCGCUUACGUCAAGAAACAACUGUGUAAACAAAACGGCCUGUUCCACUUCGGGAAACAUCAAAUUCGUUCAUUGCACAACCAGUUUUUCCCCUUAA